Pan troglodytes (chimpanzee) is the source of this 1738-nucleotide long non-coding RNA. The record is from Ensembl. NCBI's taxonomy places the organism in Eukaryota, Metazoa, Chordata, Mammalia, Primates, Hominidae.
GAAAGAUUUCAAAACAUUUUUGACAAAUGAUCAAACAAAAGUCACUGAGGAAGAAAAUAAGGGUUCAGGUACAGGUGCAGCCGGUGCCUCAGACACAACAAUAAAACCCAAUCCUGAAAACACUGGGCCCACAUUAGAAUGGGAUAACUAUGAUUUAAGGGAAGAUGCUUUGGAUGAUAGUGUUAGUAGUAGCUCAGUACAUGCUUCUCCAUUGGCAAGUAGCCCUGUGAGAAAAAAUCUUUUCCGUUUUGGUGAGUCAACAACAGGAUUUAACUUCAGUUUUAAAUCUGCUUUGAGUCCAUCUAAGUCUCCUGGCAAGUUGAAUCAGAGUGGGACUUCAGUUGGCACUGAUGAAGAAUCUGAUGUUACUCAAGAAGAAGAGAGAGAUGGACAGUACUUUGAACCUGUUGUUCCUUUACCUGAUCUAGUUGAAGUAUCCAGUGGAUGUUGCAGACUCGUUUAAGAAAAUUUUUGAUGAAGCAAAAACAGCCCAGGAAAAAGAUUCUUUGAUAACACCUCAUGUUUCUCGGUCAAGCACUCCCAGAGAGUCACCAUGUGGCAAAAUUGCUGUAGCUGUAUUAGAAGAAACCACAAGAGAGAGGACAGAUGUUACUCAGGGUGAUGAUGUAGCAGAUGCAGCUUCAGAAGUUGAAGUGUCUAGCACAUCUGAAACAACAACAAAAGCGGUGGUUUCUCCUCCAAAGUUUGUAUUUGGUUCAGAGUCUGUUAAAAGCAUUUUUAGUAGUGAAAAAUCAAAACCAUUUGCAUUCGGCAACACUUCAGCCACUGGGUCUUUGUUUGGAUUUAGUUUUAAUGCACCUUUGAAAAGUAACAAUAGUGAAACUAGUUCAGUAGCCCAGAGUGGAUCUGAAAGCAAAGUGGAACCUAACAAAUGUGAACUGUCAAAGAACUCUGAUAUCGAACAGUCUUCAGAUAGCAAAGUCAAAAAUCUCUCUGCUUCCUUUCCAACGGAAGAAUCUUCAAUCAACUACACAUUUAAAACACCAGAAAAGGAAAACAUGAUAUUGAGGCUGGGCACGGUGGCUCACUCCUAGAAUGCCAGCACUUUGGGAGGUUGAGGUGGGCAGAUCACUUGAGCUCAAGAGUUCGAGACCAGCCUGGCCAACAUGGUGAAACCCUGUUUCUACUGAAAAUACAAAAAUGAGCCGGGCGUGGUGGUGUGUGCCUAUGAUUAGCAGCUACUUAGGAGGCUGAGGCAGGAGGAUCACUUGAGCACAGGAGAUGGAGGUAGCAGUGAGCUGAAAUCAUGCCACUGCACUCCAGCCUGACUGUGAGUGACUGAGUGAGACUUUGUCUCCAAAAAAACAAAAAAAAAAAAAACAUGAUAUUGAGAUGUUCUCAUUUUAUGUGUUGUAUGUCAGUCUUGCUCAUGUAUUAAAUGAGCAAAGAAUGAAACUACAGGGAUAAAUGAAUAUGUAAGACAGUCAGAUUGGUGGUAUAAAUUGAGGGAUUCUGGCUUUUUAUGUUUUAAAAGCAUAUUCAUUUUGUUUCCUAAAAUGUUAAAAAACGAAAUAUUGUUUAUUUUCUAGGAUUUAAUUUUAGCCUUUUUAAAUCUAAUCCCAUGGCCUUUUGGACUAGCACCCCUUCCUCACAGCCUGAGAGCAAAGGUAUAGAACUAGCAUUCUCAGUAUGAGAUAACAGCAGUUUUUAGCAGCUGGUAGCCCUUAGCAAAGUAUUAAUAACUGUGGCUGUAUGAAAUGAAGUACUUACCACUACU